Long non-coding RNA from Canis lupus familiaris (dog), 881 nucleotides. RefSeq lists it as uncharacterized. The transcript is spliced from 4 exons. The record is from RefSeq and is a predicted model, not a curated record. Lineage: Eukaryota; Metazoa; Chordata; Mammalia; Carnivora; Canidae.
GGACGUGUUUGAUUUGACAUUCCUUUCACUCCUUUGUGCCUUCCUUGGCACAUUUACUCCAUCAGCUAGUAAAUAUUCAUUGAGCACCCUCUAUUGGAAAGUGACCCCGAGGCAGAGGAGAGCAGCUGGAGGCGCUGGACAUGGGGCAGACAGACAGUGUGAAGGCGGCUGUGCUGCGGGCCUUGGGCACAGGUUUUAAGAAAAGAAUAGAAAUUCAACAAAUAGAGAAGUGGAGAGAGGCAUUCUACGCAGAGGGAAGAGUACGUUCAAAAGCCCUGAGGCCACACACACUCAACACUCUGAGGCACUGAUAAGCCAGUAGAGUUGAGGUUCUGGGAGCCAGAGGAAAAUCAGGAAAAUGAGGCUGGGAGCUUGAUCCCGGUGAGAUGAGGACACUGAGGCUCAGAGAGGCCCUACAGCCACACAGCGAGGACACGAUACUUCAUGACUACGAUUGCCUCAACACAGAAAUACCUCGCCGCACCCUUGCUGCUGCCUCAAGCGAGAUCCUGAAAACCACUUUCUGCUGGUGCUGCCCUCCACUGCUGCUUGCUUCCAGAAACACCCCGCCUCACAGGGCUCAGGGCUCAUUCCCUCCUCUGUGAAUGGGAAGGAACAAUGAGGGGACACAUUUCACCGGCUCACGAGGUAAGGUACGGAAAGCAGUUGGCACAGGGCUUGGCAUUCAACCGUGUGUAAGUAAGCAAUGCUAGGAACUGUGAUUAUUGUUUCUGGUGGUCAUUCCCGCCUCUUCAAAACUCUCCUGGGUGGUCAAGGAUCUCCAUGAUUCUGUACUCUGGGGUCCCCUGCUGUGCCUCCCCUCUGGCUCCCUCCCAGACUCCUUCCCUGGAGCCCUGUACUGCUGCCUGCCUCUCCAACAG